RNA transcript from Diachasmimorpha longicaudata, 2209 nucleotides. It is a transcript of the gene named G-box-binding factor-like, with no coding region annotated. Lineage: Eukaryota; Metazoa; Arthropoda; Insecta; Hymenoptera; Braconidae. The transcript is spliced from 5 exons. The record is from RefSeq and is a predicted model, not a curated record.
GACAAUGAGAGAGCAUAUCUCCUCUCUCUCAUGUUCGAUAUGUCGCUGGAUCUUAUUAGUGACUUUCUUAAUAAUAACGAUCCAUUGGUGUUCCACCGUUGGUUAAAUUUGUUUUGAUCGAGCGGUGCGCAUGCGUGUUGAGUGGUGCCAGUGACCAGACAAUGAGUGAAUUCAUCCCCUCUCUCUCAUGUUCGAUAUGUCGCUGGAUCUCAUUAGUGAUUUUCUUAACGAUCCAGAUUUCAACGACAAUCCAAUUGAGUUGGAUCAACGCUCAGCCCCGCCUCUACCUGCAUCACCACCACCACCACCACCACCACCACCACCACCACCACCACCACCAAUAAUGGCUGACGACCAGCAACCACCCAAUAUCCAGCAGCCUCAGCAGCCCCAACACCUCCAACAAUAUGACCAACAGCUGCAGCAUCCUCACCAGCCCCAACAGCUUCAGCAACAAUCCUCACAGCUAGAGCAACAACCACCCGAUAUACAACAAGAUCAACAUUCACCCGCACAGUCCCACCAGUAUCACCUACAACCCCAACAACCUCAGAAUCCUCAGCAGCCCCAAGAGCCUCAACACCAACCUCAACAGCCUCAGCAGCCAUCCCAGUACGAUAUCCAUGAUCUCUUUGGAAAUAUUAAUGAACGCAUGGAUGUCUUGGAACAAUUGUUUGUUGGCAAUUACAAUCGUGUGAAUGAGCAACGUAGAGGAGGUAGUCGAGGUAACAGAGGGGGUAAUCGAGGUAAUAGAGGCGGUAAUGCAAGUAACAGAGGAGGCACAGGUGGCUAUGGAGCAGGUGGAAGGAGUCAACGGGGGCGACUAGAUGGAUGGAACGUGGGAAAUGGACAGGCGAAAGAGAAUGGUAGGAGACGAAGAGCUGGGCAAAACCUUGAUCAUCGUAACGCGAUAUAUUGGAAGAGUCAAUUCUUCCAAUUGAAAAAUCGUCGAUCUCAGAGGGGCAAGGGUGGUCCUCCAGUGAUCAAUCACUACUAUGCCUCUCAAUAAUAUUUUCCUAUAAGGACUUGAGAGUAGUCCCUCGUCGAAACUGUUUUUUCGACGGUUCACAAAGAUUCAUCCAUGGAUUCAUUCUGAAUUCUUCAUUCAGGAUUCUGUGAUAAUAAACAGAGGAGAAGCAUUCCAUCUCGAAAAAUAUAUAUAUUCAAAAACGUUUUCUAGUGAGUAUUGUGUUGUGUUUUCUUUUUAUAGGGAAACAAAUUUCUCUUAUAUUAACAAAAAAGUGAGCAUAGUAUUAUGUUAACUGUAAGAGCUAAUUAUGCAGUUUAGUGAUUGUGUUCAUGAUAAAGAGUUUUGAAGGUAUUAUAACAUAAGCAGAGGAAAACUAUUCCAUCUGGAAAAAUAUGCAUUUAAAAACUAUUGGUAUUGAGUAUUUAGUUCUGUUUUAUUUUUAUAGGGAAAAAAAAAUCUCUUAUAACAACAAAAAUGUGAGCAUAGUAUUAUGUUAACUGUAAGAGCUAAUUCUGCAGUUUAGUGAUUGUGUUCAUGAUAAAAAGUUCUCAAAGUAUUAUAAAAUAAACAGAGGAAAACCAGUCCACCUCGAUAAAUAUGCAUUUAAAAAGGAUUUGUAUUGAGUAUUUAGUUCUGUUUUCUUUUUAUAGGGAAAAAAAAUUCUCUUAUAUUAACAAAAAUGUGAGCAUAGUAUUAUGUUAACUGUAAGAGCUAAUUCUGCAGUUUAGUGAUUGUGUUUAUGAUAAAAAGUUUUCAAAGUAUUAUAAAAUAAGCAGAGGAAAACCAGUCCACCUCGAAAAAUAUGCAUUUAAAAACGAUUUGUAUUGAGUAUUUAGUUCUGUUUUUUUUUUAUAGGGAAGAAAAUUUCUCUUAUAUUAACAAAAAUGUGAGCAUAGUAUUAUGUUAACUGUAAGAGCUAAUUCUGCAGUUUAGUGAUUGUGUUUAUGAUAAAAAGUUUUCAAAGUAUUAUAAAAUAAGCAGAGGAAAACCAGUCCACCUCGAAAAAUAUGCAUUUAAAAACGAUUUGUAUUGAGUAUUUAGUUCUGUUUUCUUUUUAUAGGGAAAAGAAAUUCUCUUACAUCAACAAAAAUGUGAGCAUAGUAUUAUGUUAACUGUAAGAGCUAAUUCUCCAGUUUAUUGAUUGUGCUCAUGCUAAAAACUUGUAAAAGUAUUGUAAAAUCUUUUUUUCAUGAAGUUUUCCGUUUUGUUUCAUGCACAAAAUUUCAUUAAACCCCUUAA